Molecule: ribosomal RNA, 1119 nt
Filed under: Triticum aestivum (bread wheat)
Lineage: Eukaryota; Viridiplantae; Streptophyta; Magnoliopsida; Poales; Poaceae
Description: partial small subunit ribosomal RNA
Source: RNAcentral
AUGGAAGGAGAGGCGCAGUCGCCGCUGGGUCUGGGCGGAACGGGGGGCGACGCGCAGCCGCCGCUGCGUCUGGACGGAACGGAGGGCGACGCGCAGCUGCCGUCGGCGUGUGUGUCCAAGGUGCUCGACGACGACAACCUCCUGACGGAGAUCAUCGUCCGCGUCGGCUUCCCCACCAGCCUCGUGCGCGCCGCCGGCGUCUGCAGGCGCUGGCUCAGCCACGCCUCCGAUCGCGCUUUCCUCCGCCGUUUCCGCGAGCUCCACCCGCCCACACUCCUCGGCUUCUACAUCAAAGGCCUCCAUAAGGGGGCCACACGCUUUGUCCCAAUGCUGCCUCAGCCCCCGGAGCUCGCUGCCGUCAUCCGCCGCACAGACUUCCGCUUGGACACCUACGACUCAGAUACCAAUCAGAUGUUGAUGGCGGUCUGCCGGAACGGCAGCGUCGUCACCAGCUGGCACAAGGUAAAAAGCCCCAGAGAUGAAAUUGCAUUUACAGUGCAAUACCCGCUGUGCUAUGGUAGAGAUAUGACCAUCCUCCCAGGAUUAAGCCUCACAAUCGAGGAAUCCGGACUUGGUUGCAGAGCUGUGCUGUCCGGCAACAAAAUCUAUGCGGUGAGCUCAAUGAAAGACAUUGUUGUCGUGGAUUUGAAGGCCUCAAUCUCAUCGACAAUUCCGGCCCCACACGGGGUGGAUUUUGAACUACUGGACACCGUCAUGUUGCCGCGGGCUGAUGAUGGUUCUGGUGUGUAUCUCAUCCAUAUCAAGGAGCUUCAACUUCACAUCUGGCUCCACAAUGGGGACAACUGGUUGCUGGUGGACACCAUUUGCUUGACUGAAAUAUGUGCUGAUUUGCUUGAGGAUGAUUCUAGUGUUGAUUUCACGAUUAUCCAUGUGGGGGACUAUAAUGAGUUUGUGUUUUUGGAGAUGGAUCAAUGCAUACUCUACUUGGAUAUCAAACGCAGGACCCUGCGCAGAGUGUCAAGGGAGUAUGAUUUGUUUGAAAUCUAUCCUUUUAUGAUGAGCUGGCCUCCCAUCUUCCCUGUGCUCAUGGAUAGCCCUUCAAGAACUGAAAAUGGGAGGUGCACAAGUAUAGAACAUAAUGAGAAGAUUAAGAGCUGA